Molecule: antisense RNA, 75 nt
Filed under: Nocardia tenerifensis
Lineage: Bacteria; Bacillati; Actinomycetota; Actinomycetes; Mycobacteriales; Nocardiaceae
Description: ASpks TB sRNA
Rfam family: ASpks TB sRNA
Source: RNAcentral
CUUGAUCGAGCCGAGCCACAGCGGACGGUCCGCGGGCCGAUCCUGUCCGUAGGUGGCGAGCAGCGCCUGCGCCUC